UCCAGGGUAGCAUAGUGGACAUGGCACCUGCCCGGUAAGCAGAAGGUUGUGGCUUCGAUUCCCGCCCCUGGAC
This 73-nucleotide transfer RNA is filed under the name Cordylochernes scorpioides. Its description in RNAcentral is "tRNA-Thr". It matches the Rfam family "tRNA". From Rfam's summary of the family: Transfer RNA (tRNA) molecules are approximately 80 nucleotides in length. Their secondary structure includes four short double-helical elements and three loops (D, anti-codon, and T loops). Lineage: Eukaryota; Metazoa; Arthropoda; Arachnida; Pseudoscorpiones; Chernetidae. The record is from RNAcentral.